Molecule: ribosomal RNA, 253 nt
Filed under: uncultured bacterium
Lineage: Bacteria
Description: partial 16S ribosomal RNA
Rfam family: Bacterial small subunit ribosomal RNA
Source: RNAcentral
UACGAAGGGGGCUAGCGUUGCUCGGAAUUACUGGGCGUAAAGCGCACGUAGGCGGCUUUGUAAGUUAGAGGUGAAAGCCCAGGGCUCAACCCUGGAAUUGCCUUUAAGACUGCAUCGCUAGAAUUGUGGAGAGGUAAGUGGAAUUCCGAGUGUAGAGGUGAAAUUCGUAGAUAUUCGGAAGAACACCAGUGGCGAAGGCGACUUACUGGACACAUAUUGACGCUGAGGUGCGAAAGCGUGGGGAGCAAACAGG